GGAGACUUCAUGGCCGGCCACCGCAGUGUUGUGUGUAUGUAGCAUCGGCACACUGCACACUGAGAAGCCGCCUCAAUCAGGGGUGUGCUUCCCUGUGGCUGGCCCCUCCCACCACACUCAGAGAGGGCUGGCUAAGGCUGCGUGUAUCAGGCCAGCAGCAGCAGCUCUCCUCUGUGUCUGCUCCUCGGCUCUCACUGCUGCCUUCCCACACUGUCCUGGAGCUUGGGCCUCCAGUCCACUAGCCAAGCUGCCGGUCCGUGUCAGAUUUGAAAUAGCGGCGGUCAUAGGUGGACCGGAGCUGGACUGAAGGCUGUUGACCACAGCCGCCUCCCCUGCACCGCAGCCCACAGCCGCCUCCUCCGCAACGCCGCCGCCCACAGAUUCUUCCUCCUCACUGCCGCCGACCACAGCAUCCUCAUCCUCCGCACCGCCGACCACAGCCUCCUCCGCACCGCCGCUGCUCAUUAGGACUCAAGGCGUUUUAAAGGCAUCAAAACAAAGCACAUUGGACAAAGAUUAAUACAGUAACACAGAAGUAAAAAGAAAACCUACAGCGCACAGAUGUGUGUCACAGCAUAAAGAAGGUGUGCUGCAAGAAAACCCAGAAGCAAGCAACGUUUACAGGAUACAGAUGUACUGAGACAUCCUCUUCACUUUGCAUUCCAGCUGAUGCUAGAUGGGGUUUAAUGUAUGAAUGUUGAGUGACUUGGAGCUGCUUGGGGACAUGUUACAGGCCUCCCUGCACUGUAUAGGAUAACCUCAAGUUCCACAACUAUUACACCUUACCUGUCGCUGUUUUUGGAAUUCAACAACAGAAAGGUAUAAAUCUUCCAGCACACUCCUUUCAGCGGGUGCUAAACAUUUUUCCCUAACGUCAGUGAGAGGAAUGACAGGUGGACACUUUUCUCCAUGUGCUCUCAACACGGGAGUGUUGGAUGAAAUACAGAGAAGGCUCGGGAAGAAGUGGAGCAGAUUUCCCAUUAGAAAUGUUUUUAUAACUCAGCAGUAAGAGAUACUGGACAGGGCGUCUUUUAAGCAUUAAAAAAUGCAUUUCCUUUAAAACCAAAAAAUAUAAACUAAAUGUUUAGAACAUCUGUGUAGUCUCUAUAAGAAAAGAAAAACGGAUUCCAUUAAAAGACGUAGGGGACUUUAGUGCAGUAGUUUAAUUUGUGGUGAUAGACUUCACUUUUAGGAAGUGAAAUGAAAUACUUCAUACUUUGGUCUGGCAGACAUGUCAGUGCCAAGAAGAUUGCUGUAAAGGGAGCCCCAUGACAUGCAUGCUGCAUUCUUUUUAUAAAUACAUCAUAUCAUAGCCUAAAACCUCCCAAAGUCAUUAACUGGAAAUGUUCAUAAGGCAAUUUCCUCAAACUGCCACUAAACGGUCUCUGAGCGCUAUGUCAGCCAGACUGAUUGGCAUGAGAAAACAAAACAAUGCAUUACAGACACAAACAUUUAUUAUUUAUACAUUUAUAACUGCUAUUAGCUUCCUAUGAUAAUGUCUCCAGUGUUCUUUCCUCAUGUCUCUCUGUUUCUUCCUCUCUUUCUUCAGCGCUCCUCUUUUUCUCCCCCUCUUACUCACUCUGUCAUUUCACCUUCAUCUGUUUAUUUCUCUUAUCAGCACUUCAUUUUAUUAUAUAGACUAUU
Long non-coding RNA from Pseudophryne corroboree (corroboree frog), 1644 nucleotides. RefSeq lists it as uncharacterized. The transcript is spliced from 4 exons. The record is from RefSeq and is a predicted model, not a curated record. NCBI's taxonomy places the organism in Eukaryota, Metazoa, Chordata, Amphibia, Anura, Myobatrachidae.